This 1333-nucleotide long non-coding RNA is filed under the name Hordeum vulgare. Its description in RNAcentral is "long non-coding RNA (HVUL_LNC020475)". Lineage: Eukaryota; Viridiplantae; Streptophyta; Magnoliopsida; Poales; Poaceae. The record is from RNAcentral.
GUCUAUGCGGAUGCAAGACAAAGGACGCGACUUUUCUUCAAGACAUGGUCGCUUUGGUCUCUCCGCGUCUCCUUGUUGUGAGGCCAAUCGGAUCGCUCAUCCGGGAUCAUGCUGAUAACGUGUUGAAUGAAAUCAAGAAACAAACAAGAGAGACAACAAAUGAUUCAACUGUCUCCUUUUCAUUGAUGAUGAUGUCUUAUAUAGUAUUACAAAGGGUGCCUCCAAGGGGUGUGUGUACAAAGGGACAUGAGCAACCGACAUGCCAAAAGUAACUGCCUUGGUAAUUAAAAAAAGCAAGGAUUAACAUAAUUAAUUAAUCAUAGCAAAGAUAACACUCACGGCAACACAUUCUGUUUUCUUGCAGAUGGAAACACAACCACUCUUCACCGUGGAUAUCCCUCAAUUUUUACGUGCAUACAUUCUCAUCAUUCUUGAGUUUAAAAGAAUUACCACAGUUGUGAUCCUUCAACUGGUCCUGUAAACAUCUCCAAAUACCCGACUUCUGUGACAAAAUAAAAAUAAAAUCAAGCACCCCCGCUCAUUAGUAAAGAUCCUAGCAAGUGCAACAAAAUGCCAGUAAUCUUUAUUUUUGCAAGGUGCGGCGAGGGCAAGAGGUAUUGUGACACGUAUGCUGAUUCAGCAGAAAUAUAUAAUCAUGCAAGUGGACAAUCAAAAUAGUUUAAAGUCAACUGGUUACAUCUAAGGAUGCAACUGGACAAUCAAAAAUAUUUUGAAUCGACUGUUUUUUGUAAUCUAGAGUUUCCACCAGUACAGUUUGCAGUAGUUUCUCUCGUGCUCCCUCCUUCCCAAAAUAUAAGGCGUCAGUUGACUUUCUUGGUCUUAGUUGCAGAACUUUGACUAUGAUUUUCACACAUUGUAUGUCUAUAAAAUUAACAUACAAACAUGUAAAAUAAAAUUAUUCUGCAAGACAAAUUUGUCAAUAUCAUUUAUACAUGUUCUUUCGUUAUAUAUUAGCAGUUAAAGCCGUGCAUCAAAGACCAUGCAAAGUCAAUCGUACAUUAUAUUAUGGAGUAUCAUUUUCUUCAACUAAUCACUAUCAACAGUUGGCAAACUGGUUUGGACAUGUUCCACACUAUAUACUGAAACUGAAAAGAAAGAACAUCACCUUCAAUUACUUACCCCUUGUUCUGAUGUAGAGUUGUUAGCAUCCUCUCUGGUAGAAAGAAAAUCAAUGUUCAUGAGAGCCUCAUAAAUGUAGAAGUGCAUACAAACUAAAACCCUGCUGAUUAUUUAUUUGUGUGACAAAUCAUGAAGCAAAUAUAUUUUAGAGUUUAGUGCACACGCAGCAGUAUAAACCAGUCUUGUAAUCUCU